Molecule: long non-coding RNA, 849 nt
Organism: Micropterus dolomieu (smallmouth bass)
Lineage: Eukaryota; Metazoa; Chordata; Actinopteri; Centrarchiformes; Centrarchidae
Exons: 3
Source: RefSeq, a predicted model, not a curated record
GCAAAGAUAACACAAAUGUUGCAAACUUGCAAUGCAAAAAGGGAUGUGGUUAGAAUUCAAGAUAAAAUAGACAAUAAUCACAUUUUCCAAGAAAGCAAACUGCUGUAUAAAAGGAUCCACUUGACACACCCAAGAAUACAAGUCAGUUAAGUUGCUGGCAUCAUGCAUGGUCUGCACAAACUUCUGCUCUUUCAUGUUCUGACAUGUCUUGGACAAAACUAUGCUGUAUAUGGCCUCUCUGCAGAACAUUGAUCAUAGUCAUGUCUGUGGGGGAUUCCUCAUCAGUGAAGACUUUGUAGUCUCUGCUGCACACUGUGACUGCUGGUGUUGUUCUUGGCUCCCACAAUCUCAAGGCUGAAAAUACAGUGAGAUCUAUUGAAAAGAAGUGCAAACCCCCAUCUUAUGAAAAUGUUUCAAAAGGGAAUAACAUCAUGCUCCUCAAAAUGACACAAGCUUACAUUAAGCUGGAAAAGUGUCAGAAGGCAUGGCAUAAUAGCCUUCCUGCCAGUGUUAUCUUUGCAGGUGGAUAUGGAACAAAGAAAAUAUUCUGUCUGUAUGUUUUCUGUACUUCGAUAGAAAAUGCCAGCUGGUUUGUGGUUUAAAAAAAGUAGAAACAUCUUGUGUAAUGAAGCUUCCUCCUCCUCACACUCUGGUGGCCCUCUGUGCAACGGGAAGUUUGCAGUUGGUGUUGUUUCCUUUAACAGCAAACAUAACUGUGAUUAUCCAGAUGUACCCAACAUCUAUACAGACAUAUCAAAAUUUCUUCCCUGGAUGAAAGAGAUUUUCCAGAAAACAAACUGCAUGUAACAGUGUGACAAAUUGUUUUUGGAUAAACAUUUAAUGGAUCUA